CCUACGGGAGGCAGCAGUGAGGAAUAUUGGACAAUGGGCGCAAGCCUGAUCCAGCCAUGCCGCGUGCAGGAAGACGGUCCUAUGGAUUGUAAACUGCUUUUGUACGGGAAGAAACACUCCUACGUGUAGGAGCUUGACGGUACCGUAAGAAUAAGGAUCGGCUAACUCCGUGCCAGCAGCCGCGGUAAUACGGAGGAUCCAAGCGUUAUCCGGAAUUAUUGGGUUUAAAGGGUCCGUAGGCGGUUUAGUAAGUCAGUGGUGAAAGCCCAUCGCUCAACGAUGGAACGGCCAUUGAUACUGCUAGACUUGAAUUACUAGGAAGUAACUAGAAUAUGUAGUGUAGCGGUGAAAUGCUUAGAUAUUACAUGGAAUACCAAUUGCGAAGGCAGGUUACUACUAGUGGAUUGACGCUGAUGGACGAAAGCGUGGGGAGCGAACAGGAUUAGAUACCCUGGUAGUCCACGCCGUAAACGAUGGAUACUAGCUGUCGGGUCGACCUACGAGUGGUCGUAGACGAAGUAGUAGUAAGUAGUACCGACCGUCGGGUAGGUACGGUUCGGUCGAAGAAGUAGUAAACGUUAAAGUUAAGUAAGUUAGUUACGGUCGUUGAGGACGUGCGACGGACGACGACGAGGGAGGAGG
Molecule: ribosomal RNA, 642 nt
Filed under: uncultured bacterium
Lineage: Bacteria
Description: bacterial SSU rRNA
Rfam family: Bacterial small subunit ribosomal RNA (bases 1-540)
Source: RNAcentral